Molecule: ribosomal RNA, 750 nt
Filed under: Pseudomonas sp. JDM-3-09
Lineage: Bacteria; Pseudomonadati; Pseudomonadota; Gammaproteobacteria; Pseudomonadales; Pseudomonadaceae
Description: bacterial SSU rRNA
Rfam family: Bacterial small subunit ribosomal RNA
Source: RNAcentral
AUGCAAGUCGAACGGCAGCACAGGAGAGCUUGCUCUCUGGGUGGCGAGUGGCGGACGGGUGAGGAAUACAUCGGAAUCUACUCUGUCGUGGGGGAUAACGUAGGGAAACUUACGCUAAUACCGCAUACGACCUACGGGUGAAAGCAGGGGACCUUCGGGCCUUGCGCGAUUGAAUGAGCCGAUGUCGGAUUAGCUAGUUGGCGGGGUAAAGGCCCACCAAGGCGACGAUCCGUAGCUGGUCUGAGAGGAUGAUCAGCCACACUGGAACUGAGACACGGUCCAGACUCCUACGGGAGGCAGCAGUGGGGAAUAUUGGACAAUGGGCGCAAGCCUGAUCCAGCCAUACCGCGUGGGUGAAGAAGGCCUUCGGGUUGUAAAGCCCUUUUGUUGGGAAAGAAAUCCAGCUGGCUAAUACCCGGUUGGGAUGACGGUACCCAAAGAAUAAGCACCGGCUAACUUCGUGCCAGCAGCCGCGGUAAUACGAAGGGUGCAAGCGUUACUCGGAAUUACUGGGCGUAAAGCGUGCGUAGGUGGUCGUUUAAGUCCGUUGUGAAAGCCCUGGGCUCAACCUGGGAACUGCAGUGGAUACUGGGCGACUAGAAUGUGGUAGAGGGUAGCGGAAUUCCUGGUGUAGCAGUGAAAUGCGUAGAGAUCAGGAGGAACAUCCAUGGCGAAGGCAGCUACCUGGACCAACAUUGACACUGAGGCACGAAAGCGUGGGGGAGCAAACAGGAUUAGAUACCCUGGUAG